Molecule: long non-coding RNA, 136 nt
Organism: Amblyraja radiata (thorny skate)
Lineage: Eukaryota; Metazoa; Chordata; Chondrichthyes; Rajiformes; Rajidae
Exons: 2
Source: RefSeq, a predicted model, not a curated record
GCCGCCCUCCAGUCCAGCGGACGCCGCCGGAAUGCCAGAACGCCGCCCCAGCUCCGAAGCCGCCAGCUCCGCCAUUAAGCCUCAGCGCAGACGGAGACGGAGAUGGGAGACACGACAAGAAAAGUCGCGUCCCCCC